AUGACUUUUAUCACCAUCUUCAUCUGGGCACUUGUCUUCUGCACUCAAGAAACUGCAGGGCAGUACACUGUGACUCAGACUCCUGCAGUGAAAACUCUUCUCCCAGGGCAGACAGUGUCAAUGGGCUGUAAAGUCAGCAGUGCUGUCAGUGAUUGUGGGAGUUCCAAUGACUGUCUACUCUGGUACCUGCAGAAACCUGGAGAAGCUCCUAAACUCCUGAUCAUUAGUGCAAGCACCCGUCACACGGGGACUCCAGAUCGAUUCAGUGGCAGUGGAUCUGGAAGUGACUUCACUCUGACCAUCAGUGGAGUCCAGGCUGAAGAUGCAGGAGAUUACUACUGUCAGAGUCUACACUAUCCUAGUAGCACCUGGGUGUUCACACAGUGUUAG
Molecule: non-coding RNA, 390 nt
Organism: Megalops cyprinoides (Indo-Pacific tarpon)
Lineage: Eukaryota; Metazoa; Chordata; Actinopteri; Elopiformes; Megalopidae
Source: the annotation of a RefSeq genome assembly